CUGGGCUCUGAGGGCGAAGGCUUGGGGGAGACCUGACUUAGCCACCCGGCUAGCCGCGUUUGGCAUGGGCAGGUCUGUCUCUGUUCCGAGGCAGAUUCCCACUGGGCAGUGACGGGGGAGGUUUGGGACCUGCUAUCCGCUCUUUCCGUCCUCCAGGCUGGCGGCCCUGGAGGCCCGCGUGGCGCAGCUGCGAGAGGCGCGGGCGCAGCAGGUCCAGCAGGUGGAGGAGUGGCGGGCGCAGAACGCGGUGCAGCGGGCAGCCAACGAGGCGCUGCGCGCGCACGUCGGGCUCCGGGAGGCGGCACUGCGCAGGCUCCAGGAGGAGGCACGCGAGCUGCUGGAGAGGCUCGUGCAGCGCAAGGCGCGCGCCGCAGCCGAGCGCAACCUGCGCAACGAGCGCCGGGAGCGGGCCAAGCAGGCGCGGGUGUCCCAGGAGCUGAAGAAGGCUGCCAAGCGGACCGUGAGCAUCAGCGAGUAAGAGUGGGGAUGGGCCAGUCCGACCCUUGUGUUCUGCCUCCCGCCCCUGCCUGCCUGCGGCACCCAGGCUGCCGACUGCACUUGUGCACAGCCCCGUCCUGAGGCCCCCAGGUAGUCGGGACCCAUGGGACACCUGCAGAGGACCGUGUGGUCGUAGGAGCCUGCAUGCGUGACCGCUGCACGAGUACCCGCACAGAACCCUCAUCACUGGGAAUUCCUGUCUUCAGCGUGUCCUGUGCUGGGGUCGGGAGGGGCUGGCUUGGUCCCUUGGCCUUUCUGAGCUUUAUUACCUCUCCUAGGGGCCCGGACACCCUAGGCGAUGGGAUGAGGGAGAGAAGCGAGACUCUGGCUCUGGCCCCUGAGCCAGAGUCCCUGGAGAAGGAAGCUUGUGAGAAGUGGAAGAGGCCCUUCAGGUGAGGACCCAGGUGACGGUCUCAGAGCUCUGAGCUGAGCCCCACCCCAGAGGCUGCCAGGGUCUUCCUCUUGGACCGUGGAGUCAGCUCUUGGGUUGGGAGGAAGCUUGAGGAGAGGCCGGAAAGCUCAGAUCUCCCAGGUCUAGUCUGACAUGCAUUGUCUGGAGCCACUUGGGGUCAGUUCCAUCUCACCCCCUCAACCCCUACCCUCAACCCUUUUCCUCCUUCUUGGGAAUCAGAGCUCUGGGGGUGGGGUGUCAGGCUUGUGAAUAGCUGUCACCAGGAGAGAACCUGUGGGCAAAGCCCAGAGCCCAGUCAUGUCAGGCAUGUGUGUGCAGCCAUAGGUGUGCAAGCAUGUGCAUCCGCAGGGACAUAGGCCACAGGUGUGUACAAGCUUGACUGAGCCUGUCUGUGUGUGUGAAUAUAUUAGCAUGUGUAGAUGUGUGCUCACACUUGUGGGACCUGAUUGGGGCUUCAGACCUUGGGUGCCUGUCCGCAGGGUCUCCUCCAUCCUUCUUGAUUUGCCUGUCAUUGAGGCUGCCCCCUCCAGGCUCCAUUCCCCAGCCUAACACCUCUUCUCAGUCUUUCCUUGCAGGUCCCCGGUGUCCCGGCCUUGGGGCAGUGAAGAAACCGUGGGGAGGGGCAUGAGAUGCCAGUCCCCAAAGUCCUUGGGAGCCCUUGUGGGCCAAGUCAUUGCAGGACACACCCUCUCCUGGGCAUUGCUGAGGUCACCUAGUGAGCCUAGGCUUCCCCCUUCUUCCAUCCCCAGCCUGGGGGAAUCUUCAGCAUCUCUCUUCCCUGUAGGCCCCAGCUCAGCUUCCCAGGAACUUUUGUUUUUGGGUACUUGUAGGGUAAGGCAGUUCUUCCCAUCGUGAGGGAGACCUUGGGAGACUUUCACUACCAAAUCUAUUGCUGCCCCGACCUUCCUGGGACUGGUCUGGGUCACCCUAGUCUCCUGGUCUUGGAGAAGUCAAGUUCUUAUCCCAGACUUGAGAGGUUACAAGCCUCCAGGUCUCUGGCAAAGUGUGGAGAUGAUGGACAGCCAUUGGUACACACACCAGCCAAUCCCUUAGCAUAUCUCUCUCGGUUUUGUCUCAGGUCUGCCUCAGCCACCUCCCUGACGCUGUCCCACUGUGUGGAUGUGGUGAAGGGGCUUCUGGAGUAAGUGUGUGUGUGCCUGUGUGUGCACCCAUGUGUGUGUCGGGCUCCCCAGCCCAGGCUUGGUCUGUGUCUGCGCUUCGACCUGUCCAUCCCUGUGAUGCGCAGCUGUCUGCCUGUGAGUCUGUUGGGCCCUGGAGACAGGAGCCAGGUGAAUGGCCUCAGCCCCAGCCCCGGUUCAGCUGUCUUCCAGGUUCUGUCCUCACAAGGGUCUGUCUUCAUCCAAGGUCGUCACAGGGGACCAAAAGCUCCAGCCUCAGGCAGGGCAGGAGCUCCUACUCAAUUGGGAAAAAUGCUCUGAAAUGUCAGGGACUCAUUCAGAGUCACAGAGCCAAGCAGUGGCAAGACUGGGAUUGAAACCCCAGCCCUGAGGUUUCUUUGCACCCACCAACCCUACCCUGCUCCUGUGUCUGCCUCUGUGUGCUCCCCACCCUGUCUCCACACCAACCCCUGGGGUCGAGGCUGGGUUGGGGAAUGCGCUCACUGCUCCUUGGGGCCAUGUUCUGCCGCCUGCCAUGUCUGCUUCCUAUAGUUGAUGCCUCAGGGGAGCUGGAGGCUCCCACCUGAGAAGGCCUUGCUGAAUGCCCUCCUGACCCCAACCCACCUUACCCCAGUUUUAAGAAGAGGAGAGGUCACUCAAUUGGGGGAGCCCCUGAGCAGCGAUACCAGAUCAUCCCUGUGUGUGUGGCCGCCCGACUUCCUACCCGGGCUCAGGAUGUGCUGGAUGCCCACCUCUCUGAGGUCAAUGCUGUUCGUUUUGGCCCCAACAGCAGCCUCCUGGCCACUGGAGGGGCUGACCGCCUGAUCCACCUCUGGAAUGUUGUGGGAAGUCGCCUGGAGGCCAACCAGACCCUGGAGGGAGCUGGUGGCAGCAUCACCAGUGUGGACUUUGACCCCUCGGGCUACCAGGUUUUAGCAGCAACUUACAACCAGGCUGCCCAGCUCUGGAAGGUGGGGGAGGCACAGUCCAAGGUGAGGCCUGACUGGGGAGGCUGCCUGGGGGUCAGAGGUCAUACCUCAGGACUAGGGGGCCUGUUAUGGGGUCUUGGCCAAACUCUUGAUCCGUACCUGGGGCUGGGGUACAGGAGACAUUGUCUGGACACAAGGAUAAGGUGACAGCUGCCAAAUUCAAGCUAACGCACCAGGCAGUGACUGGGAGCCGCGACCGGACAGUGAAGGAGUGGGACCUUGGCCGUGCCUACUGUGAGCCCCAGCCCCACCUCCCCUCCCCACCAGCCAGGAGCCCCAGGCCAGGGCACAAGGGACCUCACCUGCUCUCUGGGAGUGGCUCUGAGAUUCAUAGGCAUUUGGGGGUGAAACCUCUCAAGGCCCUCCAAUUCCCCAAUGGUAUCCCCCAAUGGUGUUUUCUGUCUGGUUUCUUGGUGACCUCAGGCUGUGGGUAGGAAAAAGACGUGGGUGAGCCCUGGGCUGGGAAGCAGAAGACCUGGGUUCUAGUCUUGGGAGGACACUGCGUUCUGGGCCUCAGCUUCUCCAUGUGUCCUGUGGGGUGGCUCCCGACAACCCUCCUCUGAGGCCCUGGGGUCUGCUGCUUGGUCCCCAGGCUCCAGGACCAUCAAUGUCCUUUCCUACUGUAAUGACGUGGUGUGUGGGGACCAUAUCAUCAUUAGUGGCCACAAUGACCAGAAGAUCCGGUUCUGGGACAGCAGGGGGCCCCACUGCACCCAGGUCAUCCCUGUGCAGGGCCGGGUCACCUCCCUGAGCCUCAGCCACGACCAACUGCACCUGCUCAGCUGUUCCCGAGAUAACACACUCAAGGUCAUCGACCUGCGUGUCAGCAACAUCCGCCAGGUGUUCAGGUACCAGCCUCAUGCCUGCUGACCCUGUGGCCUUUGCUGGGACAGCUGAGCCUCUCUUCUCCUGUAAUAGACCCUCUUGGGGCCCUCCCUGGAGGCCCCUCCAGACCAGGUCCUGCUGAGGUACCAAACCCCUUGACAAAGAGGAAGCUCUGGAAGCUCCCUGCAGAGGACAGAGACUAGUGAUGACCUCUGUUCUGACCCCAGCCCUGUCUGUCCUCAGGGCCGAUGGCUUCAAGUGCGGUUCUGACUGGACCAAAGCUGUGUUCAGCCCGGACAGAAGCUAUGCACUGGCAGGCUCCUGUGAUGGGGCCCUUUACAUCUGGGAUGUGGACACCGGGAAACUGGAGAGCAGACUUCAGGGACCCCAUUGCACUGCUGUCAACGCCGUGGCCUGGUGCUACUCCGGGAGCCACAUGGUGAGCGUGGACCAGGGCAGGAAGGUUGUGCUCUGGCAGUAGGGCCACGAUUUCCCUGCCUGGGCUGGAGCUCUUGCCCGAAGCCUGAAGCUUCCCUUGGCACCAUGCGGGGGUUGGGGUUGGGACUGGAGAUGGCCUUGGGAUUUAAUGGGGAAGAAGGCCUGGCAGGACCUGGCCUGUUUGUUUAAAAAUGAAGUAUGGGUUGGGGGAUUAUGCUAGUUUUUCUUUGUAUUUUUAUCUCUAUCUCCUCACUUUCUCUCUCAAAGUAGAAAAAAAUGAUAUCUA
RNAcentral lists this small RNA (4566 nucleotides) under Pongo abelii (Sumatran orangutan). RNAcentral describes it as "retained intron". The record is from RNAcentral. Lineage: Eukaryota; Metazoa; Chordata; Mammalia; Primates; Hominidae.